RNAcentral lists this ribosomal RNA (494 nucleotides) under uncultured bacterium. RNAcentral's name for it is "bacterial SSU rRNA". It matches the Rfam family "Bacterial small subunit ribosomal RNA", at positions 29 to 524 of the family's 1533-position model. The record is from RNAcentral.
AACGAACGCUGGCGGCGUGCCUAACACAUGCAAGUCGUGCGAGAAAGUUCCCUCGGGAGCGAGUAAAGCGGCGCACGGGUGAGUAACACGUAGGUAACCUGCCCCCCAGUCUGGGACAACUAGAGGAAACUCUAGCUAAUGCCGGAUGAGACCACGAUCCCUUCGGGGGUUGCGGCCAAAGAUGGCCUCUACUUGUAAGCUAUCGCUGAGGGAUGGGCCUGCGGGCCAUUAGCUUGUUGGUGAGGUAACGGCUCACCAAGGCUGUGAUGGCUAGCUGGUCUGAGAGGAUGACCAGCCACACUGGGACUGAGACACGGCCCAGACUCCUACGGGAGGCAGCAGUGGGGAAUAUUGGACAAUGGGCGAAAGCCUGAUCCAGCAAUGCCGCGUGAGUGAUGAAGGCCUUAGGGUUGUAAAGCUCUUUUACCCGGGAUGAUAAUGACAGUACCGGGAGAAUAAGCCCCGGCUAACUCCGUGCCAGCAGCCUCGGUAAU